GGGUUGUGAGGUUAAGCGACUAAGCGUACACGGUGGAUGCCCUGGCAGUCAGAGGCGAUGAAGGGCGUGCUAAUCUGCGAUAAGCGCCGGUAAGGUGAUAUGAACCGUUAUAACCGGCGAUACCCGAAUGGGGAAACCCAGUGUGACUCGUCACACUAUCAUUAACUGAAUCCAUAGGUUAAUGAGGCGAACCGGGGGAACUGAAACAUCUAAGUACCCCGAGGAAAAGAAAUCAACCGAGAUUCCCCCAGUAGCGGCGAGCGAACGGGGAGGAGCCCAGAGCCUGAAUCAGCAUGUGUGUUAGUGGAAGCGUCUGGAAAGGCGCGCGAUACAGGGUGACAGCCCCGUACACAAAAGCGCAUGUGCUGUGAGCUCGAUGAGUAGGGCGGGACACGUGGUAUCCUGUCUGAAUAUGGGGGGACCAUCCUCCAAGGCUAAAUACUCCUGACUGACCGAUAGUGAACCAGUACCGUGAGGGAAAGGCGAAAAGAACCCCGGCGAGGGGAGUGAAAAAGAACCUGAAACCGUGUACGUACAAGCAGUGGGAGCACAGGUUUACCUGUGUGACUGCGUACCUUUUGUAUAAUGGGUCAGCGACUUAUAUUCUGUAGCAAGGUUAACCGAAUAGGGGAGCCGGAGGGAAACCGAGUCUUAACCGGGCGUUAAGUUGCAGGGUAUAGACCCGAAACCCGGUGAUCUAGCCAUGGGCAGGUUGAAGGUUGGGUAACACUAACUGGAGGACCGAACCGACUAAUGUUGAAAAAUUAGCGGAUGACCUGUGGCUGGGGGUGAAAGGCCAAUCAAACCGGGAGAUAGCUGGUUCUCCCCGAAAGCUAUUUAGGUAGCGCCUCGUGAACUCAUCUCCGGGGGUAGAGCACUGUUUCGGCUAGGGGGCCAUCCCGGCUUACCAACCCGAUGCAAACUGCGAAUACCGGAGAAUGUUAUCACGGGAGACACACGGCGGGUGCUAACGUCCGUCGUGAAGAGGGAAACAACCCAGACCGCCAGCUAAGGUCCCAAAGUCAUGGUUAAGUGGGAAACGAUGUGGGAAGGCCCAGACAGCCAGGAUGUUGGCUUAGAAGCAGCCAUCAUUUAAAGAAAGCGUAAUAGCUCACUGGUCGAGUCGGCCUGCGCGGAAGAUGUAACGGGGCUAAACCAUGCACCGAAGCUGCGGCAGCGAACGUAUCACUUAAAGCGAUUCAGCGGGUUACGAUUGACGGAGCGAAGCGACGUCAAAGCGUAUACAAAGUCGAGUCGGUUUAAGGAUACGUUCGUUGGGUAGGGGAGCGUUCUGUAAGCCUGUGAAGGUGGCCUGUGAGGGUUGCUGGAGGUAUCAGAAGUGCGAAUGCUGACAUAAGUAACGAUAAAGCGGGUGAAAAGCCCGCUCGCCGGAAGACCAAGGGUUCCUGUCCAACGUUAAUCGGGGCAGGGUGAGUCGACCCCUAAGGCGAGGCCGAAAGGCGUAGUCGAUGGGAAACGGGUUAAUAUUCCCGUACUUGGUGUUACUGCGAAGGGGGGACGGAGAAGGCUAUGUUGGCCGGGCGACGGUUGUCCCGGUUUAAGCGUGUAGGUGUGUGUUCCAGGUAAAUCCGGUUCACUUUAACACUGAGGCGUGAUGACGAGGCACUACGGUGCUGAAGCAACAAAUGCCCUGCUUCCAGGAAAAGCCUCUAAGCAUCAGGUAACAUCAAAUCGUACCCCAAACCGACACAGGUGGUCAGGUAGAGAAUACCAAGGCGCUUGAGAGAACUCGGGUGAAGGAACUAGGCAAAAUGGUGCCGUAACUUCGGGAGAAGGCACGCUGACACGUAGGUGAAGUGAUUUACUCAUGGAGCUGAAGUCAGUCGAAGAUACCAGCUGGCUGCAACUGUUUAUUAAAAACACAGCACUGUGCAAACACGAAAGUGGACGUAUACGGUGUGACGCCUGCCCGGUGCCGGAAGGUUAAUUGAUGGGGUCAGCGCAAGCGAAGCUCCUGAUCGAAGCCCCGGUAAACGGCGGCCGUAACUAUAACGGUCCUAAGGUAGCGAAAUUCCUUGUCGGGUAAGUUCCGACCUGCACGAAUGGCGUAAUGAUGGCCAGGCUGUCUCCACCCGAGACUCAGUGAAAUUGAACUCGCUGUGAAGAUGCAGUGUACCCGCGGCAAGACGGAAAGACCCCGUGAACCUUUACUAUAGCUUGACACUGAACAUUGAGCCUUGAUGUGUAGGAUAGGUGGGAGGCUUUGAAGCGUGGACGCCAGUCUGCGUGGAGCCAACCUUGAAAUACCACCCUUUAAUGUUUGAUGUUCUAACGUGGACCCGUAAUCCGGGUUGCGGACAGUGUCUGGUGGGUAGUUUGACUGGGGCGGUCUCCUCCUAAAGAGUAACGGAGGAGCACGAAGGUUGGCUAAUCCUGGUCGGACAUCAGGAGGUUAGUGCAAUGGCAUAAGCCAGCUUGACUGCGAGCGUGACGGCGCGAGCAGGUGCGAAAGCAGGUCAUAGUGAUCCGGUGGUUCUGAAUGGAAGGGCCAUCGCUCAACGGAUAAAAGGUACUCCGGGGAUAACAGGCUGAUACCGCCCAAGAGUUCAUAUCGACGGCGGUGUUUGGCACCUCGAUGUCGGCUCAUCACAUCCUGGGGCUGAAGUAGGUCCCAAGGGUAUGGCUGUUCGCCAUUUAAAGUGGUACGCGAGCUGGGUUUAGAACGUCGUGAGACAGUUCGGUCCCUAUCUGCCGUGGGCGCUGGAGAACUGAGGGGGGCUGCUCCUAGUACGAGAGGACCGGAGUGGACGCAUCACUGGUGUUCGGGUUGUCAUGCCAAUGGCACUGCCCGGUAGCUAAAUGCGGAAGAGAUAAGUGCUGAAAGCAUCUAAGCACGAAACUUGCCCCGAGAUGAGUUCUCCCUGAGACUUUAGGUCUCCUGAAGGAACGUUGAAGACGACGACGUUGAUAGGCCGGGUGUGUAAGCGCAGCGAUGCGUUGAGCUAACCGGUACUAAUGAACCGUGAGGCUUAACCUUACAACGCCGAAG
Molecule: ribosomal RNA, 3010 nt
Filed under: Salmonella enterica subsp. enterica serovar Stanleyville
Lineage: Bacteria; Pseudomonadati; Pseudomonadota; Gammaproteobacteria; Enterobacterales; Enterobacteriaceae
Description: 23S ribosomal RNA
Rfam family: Bacterial large subunit ribosomal RNA
Source: RNAcentral